Molecule: unclassified non-coding RNA, 1392 nt
Filed under: Leishmania donovani
Lineage: Eukaryota; Euglenozoa; Kinetoplastea; Trypanosomatida; Trypanosomatidae
Description: gene:unknown
Source: RNAcentral
AGCCUUUUCUUAACCCAAGCACUGUCACCGCCGACCUUGCAACACACCCUUACCAUGAGAAUAUGCGCUGCUCUGAAAGCACCUGCCAGUUACUCUAACGCCAGCUCGCUUGCCCCGUUGUUUUCUUUCAAUUUGAUCCUUGCACCGGCCACUCUCGUGCAAAUGCGACGGCCUACGCGCGCGCCUCUCACACCGCUGUGAGCUCUCGUCUCACUUCUCUCUUCUCCCUUUCUGUUUUCUCAGAGAGGACGAUCUUUGUGUGUGUGUGUGCGCGUGCUUUUUUACUCGCGUUGGUGACGUGCCAUUCUGCUGACGGGCAUCCUCUCGUGCCCGAAAAGGGAGGUGCGGAGAAGGAGCCCACGUUCGCCACAACACCAGCAGCUGAAUGACAAUCGAGUUUGUAAUUUGGAUGGAGAAGCAAGAGGGGAUGCGAUUUUCCCACUAACGUCACCUCAUCCUUCUAGUCACCCGCGCUGCUCUGGAAAGUGAAGCAGACCGCACAUGCCUGUGCUGACGUGAGGACGACCGCAACUUUCUGGAUCACCUUAACCACAGCGUCAUCUAAGGUCCAUACGCAUUCCUUUACUUUAUCCUUGGCGCUGACAGCGUUCUUUGCCAGAACGCUGUUGUCGGCUGCGAGGCUCAUCAAGAGAACGACCUGGCCAUCACGGGACUCAUUCAAGCAGCCGUCGAUCGUUUUGACACGUACUUUUGAAAGGACUUGCGAGCUGGAGGUCAUGUACCACCUCGAGAAGGCGUACCUCGUUGUCGAGGAAAUGCUCACUAAUGGUCUGGCUGUGGAGAUGAAAAAGCACAAUGCGCCGGAGCCAAUUUUUUUUCUUUUGUGAUGGGCUCCGAAAAUCUCGUCUCGCUGCUUUGACGGAGCAGGCUUAGACAACUGCUGCCUCGUCGUUCUAUUCCUAUUGGAGUACUUGGUGUGCUGGAACAUGUGCGGGUGUACGCGUGUCACCCUGUGCCUCUCCAUGGCGCAGUUGAUGUGUACUGCUGCUCUUCCUCUUGUUUCCCUUUGACUGCGUUAUGGAUGCGGCGCGUAGGCGUUGUGAGUGUCUCUAGUCAGGUAACUCCAGCCCCGCCAGAGGCAGAAAUUCGCAAAAAUUGCACGCUACAAAAGAAUACGGUGCGAUAACGUAGCGCUGCGUUUCGCACCACCAUCUUCUGCCGUGUCUGCUGUUGUGAUUUCUAUUAGCAAAAACGAGCUGGCUUGCGAUGAGUCAUUUUAUUCUGCUUUGUGGAGGCCGCCUCUUGGCAAGAAAGACGAGGUAGGUGACACACGUCGCUUUACGUGCGGUUUCGUGCAGCGCAACAGCUCUUCUCAGCAAGGAACUUUUAUCAUUGAAUCGCCCUUUCGCCUCCUUUAUCCUGCCUUCAAGU